CGGACAGAAGCCCGCUGGAUUGGGUGUUUAGCUGUUAAUUAAAUUUUUGUGGGAUCAAGGCCCGCCUGUCUAG
This 73-nucleotide transfer RNA is filed under the name Sceloporus orcutti. RNAcentral describes it as "tRNA-Asx". RNAcentral also lists the same sequence under 2 other names. The record is from RNAcentral. Lineage: Eukaryota; Metazoa; Chordata; Lepidosauria; Squamata; Phrynosomatidae.